This is a long non-coding RNA of Pieris napi, 311 nucleotides long. RefSeq lists it as uncharacterized. The record is from RefSeq and is a predicted model, not a curated record. Lineage: Eukaryota; Metazoa; Arthropoda; Insecta; Lepidoptera; Pieridae. The transcript has 3 exons.
AUAUUUAAUUGUCCACUAUCAAACCGGUGAAGUAUAUAUAUUUACAUCGAUUUUGUUGAACUAUCAUAGUUUAUUUGCUAUUCAAAAUGAACGCCAAAUCGAUAUUUUUAAUUUGUCUUAUCUUUACAUGCUUAAUAGCAUCAACCUUCGUUGCUGCUUAUCCUGGCGGCGACGUUGUUGAAUCGAGCCCUUCAAACCAAGCCACUAAUAAUAACAAGCAGAAUGCAGACGUUGGUCAACGACAAUCGGAUCGACAUGGAUUAAUUUGAUUACUCACAAAAUAUGAUGUGCAAAUAAAGUAUAUAAAAUAA